CAAGCACACUGGUCAAACCAACAGCCCAAGAAUGCAAAACAAUCAUUAUUUACAUGAAUAUGCGUGAGAAACUCUAGUGGAAAUAGAGCAGAGCAGGUUCAGAUGCCAACGACUCAAGAAUUGGACUUUUCACUGCUGGAUCAUCCCAAGAAACCUCUGGAAGGGGCAGAUUCCAGGAGGAAAGCAGCAGGAAGGAAGGAAGAGUGGCAGACAAUGCAAAAAAAGAAAAAAACCAACAGCAAUUGGGAUUAUUUUAAUAUUUCAGAGCUAACACUGGCUUGGAGAGUGAGGGAUUCUGGAAGAAGGCAGAGUUUUCCUGUUGGUUGGUAUCCAGACAGAUUUGCUGCAGGAAGAGAAAUUAAGACAACACAAGCCAAAAUGUAGUCUCACUGCAGCGAGACUCAGCUAAUUUAAGGAGACUGUCUGUGUAUAACACAUUUGCCCAAGGAACAGCUGGUUCAGUUGUUUUUCUGACUGAAAAUCUCCAUUCCAAAGCCAAGCUGAGCCUGGAUUGCUGAAUAAAUUGGGGAUAGUAGA
This is a long non-coding RNA of Vidua chalybeata, 537 nucleotides long. RefSeq lists it as uncharacterized. The transcript has 3 exons. NCBI's taxonomy places the organism in Eukaryota, Metazoa, Chordata, Aves, Passeriformes, Viduidae. The record is from RefSeq and is a predicted model, not a curated record.